Ribosomal RNA from Danio rerio (zebrafish), 117 nucleotides. Lineage: Eukaryota; Metazoa; Chordata; Actinopteri; Cypriniformes; Danionidae. The record is from Ensembl.
GACCACAGCCAUAUUAUCCUGCUGCCCCAGACCGGUUACUCGCUGAAGCUAAGCAGGGCUGAGCCUGGUCACUACCUGGAUAGGAGACCACAUGGGAAAACUAAGUUGCUGUUGGAA